This 497-nucleotide ribosomal RNA is filed under the name uncultured bacterium. Its description in RNAcentral is "partial 16S ribosomal RNA". It matches the Rfam family "Bacterial small subunit ribosomal RNA", at positions 28 to 507 of the family's 1533-position model. The record is from RNAcentral.
GAUGAACGCUGGCGGCGUGCCUAAUACAUGCCAGUCGAGCGAACAGACGAGGAGCUUGCUCCUCUGACGUUAGCGGCGGACGGGUGAGUAACACGUGGAUAACCUACCUAUAAGACUGGGAUAACUUCGGGAAACCGGAGCUAAUACCGGAUAAUAUAUUGAACCGCAUGGUUCAAUAGUGAAAGACGGUUUUGCUGUCACUUAUAGAUGGAUCCGCGCCGCAUUAGCUAGUUGGUAAGGUAACGGCUUACCAAGGCAACGACGCGUAGCCGACCUGAGAGGGUGAGCGGCCACACUGGAACUGAGACACGGUCCAGACUCCUACGGGAGGCAGCAGUAGGGAAUCUUCCGCAAUGGGCGAAAGCUUGACGGAGCAACGCCGCGUGAGUGAUGAAGGUCUUCGGAUCGUAAAACUCUGUUAUUAGGGAAGAACAAAUGUGUAAGUAACUAUGCACGUCUUGACGGUACCUAAUCAGAAAGCCACGGCUAACUACGUG